GAUGAACGCUGGCGGCGUGCCUAAUACAUGCAAGUCGAGCGAACGGACGAGAAGCUUGCUUCUCUGAUGUUAGCGGCGGACGGGUGAGUAACACGUGGAUAACCUACCUAUAAGACUGGGAUAACUUCGGGAAACCGGAGCUAAUACCGGAUAAUAUUUUGAACCGCAUGGUUCAAAAGUGAAAGACGGUCUUGCUGUCACUUAUAGAUGGAUCCGCGCUGCAUUAGCUAGUUGGUAAGGUAACGGCUUACCAAGGCAACGAUGCAUAGCCGACCUGAGAGGGUGAUCGGCCACACUGGAACUGAGACACGGUCCAGACUCCUACGGGAGGCAGCAGUAGGGAAUCUUCCGCAAUGGGCGAAAGCCUGACGGAGCAACGCCGCGUGAGUGAUGAAGGUCUUCGGAUCGUAAAACUCUGUUAUUAGGGAAGAACAUAUGUGUAAGUAACUGUGCACAUCUUGACGGUACCUAAUCAGAAAGCCACGGCUAACUACGUGCCAGCAGCCGCGGUAAUACGUANGUGGCAAGCGUUAUCCGGAAUUUAUGGGCGUNAAGCGCGCGUAGGCGGUUUUUUAGUCUGAUGUGAAAGCCCACGGCUCAACCCGUGGAGGGUCAUUGGAAACUGGAAAACUUGAGUGCAGAAGAGGAAAGUGGAAUUCCAUGUGUAGCGGUGAAAUGCGCAGAGAUAUGGAGGAACACCAGUGGCGAAGGCGACUUUCUGGUCUGUAACUGACGCUGAUGUGCGAAAGCGUGGGGAUCAAACAGGAUUAGAUACCCUGGUAGUCCACGCCGUAAACGAUGAGUGCUAAGUGUUAGGGGGUUUCCGCCCCUUAGUGCUGCAGCUAACGCAUUAAGCACUCCGCCUGGGGAGUACGACCGCAAGGUUGAAACUCAAAGGAAUUGACGGGGACCCGCACAAGCGGUGGAGCAUGUGGUUUAAUUCGAAGCAACGCGAAGAACCUUACCAAAUCUUGACAUCCUUUGACAACUCUAGAGAUAGAGCUUUCCCCUUCGGGGGACAAAGUGACAGGUGGUGCAUGGUUGUCGUCAGCUCGUGUCGUGAGAUGUUGGGUUAAGUCCCGCAACGAGCGCAACCCUUAAGCUUAGUUGCCAUCAUUAAGUUGGGCACUCUAAGUUGACUGCCGGUGACAAACCGGAGGAAGGUGGGGAUGACGUCAAAUCAUCAUGCCCCUUAUGAUUUGGGCUACACACGUGCUACAAUGGACAAUACAAAGGGCAGCGAAACCGUGAGGUCAAGCAAAUCCCAUAAAGUUGUUCUCAGUUCGGAUUGUAGUCUGCAACUCGACUACAUGAAGCUGGAAUCGCUAGUAAUCGUAGAUCAGCAUGCUACGGUGAAUACGUUCCCGGGUCU
RNAcentral lists this ribosomal RNA (1372 nucleotides) under uncultured bacterium. RNAcentral describes it as "bacterial SSU rRNA". It matches the Rfam family "Bacterial small subunit ribosomal RNA", at positions 28 to 1381 of the family's 1533-position model. The record is from RNAcentral.